Molecule: long non-coding RNA, 1439 nt
Filed under: Vitis vinifera (wine grape)
Lineage: Eukaryota; Viridiplantae; Streptophyta; Magnoliopsida; Vitales; Vitaceae
Description: long non-coding RNA (VVIN_LNC000228)
Source: RNAcentral
UUAAUCUAAAAAAAAACAAAUGCUCAAGUUUUAGAAAAGAUGAAUAAAAUAAAAAUGAUAAGUACGAGAUAACAUAACCCAAAAUUUUCCUUUGCACCCUAAUCAAUAGUAGAUCUUAAAAAAAUAAUAAAAAGAUAUAUAAUUAGAUAAAGAAAUAAAUGCUAUGGAGCUGGAUCUCCUUAAUGGCAAUAUGCACUCACAUAAAAAUCUUAACAGGCCAGUCUUAUCAAAAAAAAAAAUCUUAACAGGCCAGUGCCAACAGAACCAUAACUCAGUGGUUGAGAUUUUUAACUUCCAUUGGUGUUGGUACAUUCUUUUUAUUAGAACCCAAAUAUAGGAAUUUGUAUUGAUUGAAUUGAGAAAGACAAGACUACUUAUCUUUUGUGCUUUGCUAAGUAAGAUAUACAAGGAAAAAAGCCAUGAUUUGGCUCAAAGUUUUAACAACCUACAAUAAGAUUCUAUGUGGUCGGACCAAUUCUCAACAUGCUCACCUAGGUUGUGAUUACUUUUGCUAUUGGUUUAUCCACUCGCCUUAACAUAAAUGGAAAAGAUACAGCAACAUCAUAUCCUUGAGAGAAUCUACAUCAUAUACAAAACUUCAUAUUAUGUGAUUAUGGUAUGUUAUUUGCCCAUCACAAAAUAUUACUACAUGAUGAUGGUAUGUGUAUGGAAGCAUGUUCAUUUACAUCUUGCAGAACUCUCAUAAAACAUUAAAGGCUUUUGUAAGGAUGCAUUCCAAUCACAAAGUUAGCUUAUGCGAAAAAUCAUAUAUCUUUUGUUCAGUAAUAGAAAUCUGUUUAAGCUCGGAGGAGAAAGCUAUAAAGCUAAACUAAGUGCACUUCAACCAUGUUGAUCCUCCCUCUGGUGCCCAUGAACAAAGGAAAACCAAACAAUAAUUCCUACUUACACAAUCACCAUUCCCAUUCCAGAUAUGCAAUUAGAGAAGUUGUCAUGAUCAAAAUAGUCACCAUCAAUUCCAAAUUUUCAUUUGUUUUUCCCCAUUUUCUAGAGCAGACUACUCGGUUCCAAUGCCAAUAAGAGAUUACAAAACAAAUAAAGAGUCAAAAAUCUUAUUGCCACUAUUAUAUUCCCAAGUUUUCUUUUGUUUUCCUACAACUUUGGCUCCAUCCCAUCAUUUAACCUUUCACAACCAGGGAACUCCAACUUAUCAAACCCAAAUAGAGAGUGAAAUUUUUAUUUUUCCCACAUCCCAAACACUAAAAAAAUUUUAGUGUAUUUCCUUUUUCAAAAAAAGAAGAAUAAAAACAAAAAACGACCCACUACAUUAACCUACAUAUUCAGAAAUUAAAUCAAUGAUGAAACCUGAAAGAAAAACAGAUAAAAUACACAUCACAGAUAGAACAAAAUCAUCAUAAUAAUGACUAAAAUCAAUUCAUUAGGCAUACCUAUGACCAUUUCCUCAUUAAGCAUUGAUUCAU